This 465-nucleotide ribosomal RNA is filed under the name uncultured bacterium. RNAcentral's name for it is "partial 16S ribosomal RNA". It matches the Rfam family "Bacterial small subunit ribosomal RNA", at positions 338 to 795 of the family's 1533-position model. The record is from RNAcentral.
CCUACGGGUGGCAGCAGUGGGGAAUAUUGCGCAAUGGGCGAAAGCCUGACGCAGCGACGCCGCGUGAGGGAUGAAGGUCUUCGGAUCGUACACCUCUGUCAGCAGGGAAGAACGGUCACUGUGCUAAUCAGCAGUGAAUUGACGGUACCUGCAAAGGAAGCACCGGCUAACUCCGAGCCAGCAGCCGCGGUAAUACGGAGGGUGCGCGCUGUAAUCGGAAUUACUGGGCGUAAAGCGCUCGUAGGCGGUAUGUACAGUCAAGGGUGAAAUCCCCGCGCUCAACGUGGGAACUGCCUUUGAAACUGGCAAACUGGAGUGUGCGAGAGGAUAGUGGAAUUCCAGGUGUAGGAGUGAAAUCCGUAGAUAUCUGGAGGAACAUCAGUGGCGAAGGCGACUAUCUGGCACAUAACUGACGCUGAGGAGCGAAAGCGUGGGUAGCAAACAGGAUUAGAUACCCCUGUAGUC